CAGCGACUGGGGUGAAGUCGUAACAAGGUUUCCGUAGGUGAACCUGCAGAAGGAUCA
Molecule: ribosomal RNA, 57 nt
Filed under: uncultured eukaryote
Lineage: Eukaryota
Description: partial small subunit ribosomal RNA
Rfam family: Eukaryotic small subunit ribosomal RNA
Source: RNAcentral